ACAGGUUUGGUCCUGACCUUAAUAUUAGCCAAAACUAUAAUUAUACAUGCAAGCUUCAACACCCCGGUGAGUAGCACCCCUUAUCUCCAACUAGAAAUAAUGGAGUUGGUAUCAGGCACAUAGCCCAAAACACCUUGCUAAGCCACACCUACAUAGGAUAUCAGCAGUAAUAAACAUUGAACAAUAAGUGAAAACUUGAUUUAGUAAUAGUUAUUAAAGUCGGUAAACCUCGUGCCAGCCACCGCGGUUAUACGAGGGACUUAAGUUAAUAUCUGCGGCCUAAAGAACAGUUAAAGAAAUAGAAUAUAGGAAUGAGAAUCUUUAAAGCUGUUAUACGCAAAAUAAGCCUAAAACCCCAAACAUACCUAUUUUACUUGAACCUGUUAAAGCCAGGAAACACACUGGGAUUAGAUACCCCACUAUGCCAGGCCACAAACUUUGAACUAUCCGCCAGAGCACUACGAGCCACAGCUUAAAACUCAAAGGACUUGGCGGUGCCCUAUACCCACCUAGAGGAGCCUGUUCUAUAAUUGAUAAUCCCCAAUAAACCUCACCACCUCUUGCAAACACAGCCUAUAUACCACCGUCACAAGCCCACCCCACCAAGGAAUAAUAGUAGGCUAAAUAAUUUAAAAUAAAAAAGUCAGGUCAAGGUGUAGCAUACGAGUCGGAAAGAAAUGGGCUACAUUUUCUCCAAAGAAAACACGGAAUAUUUCAUGAAAUAUAAUAUAAAGGAGGAUUUAGCAGUAAAAAGAAAACAGAGAGUUCUUUUUAAGCUGGCAAUAGGACGAGCACACACCGCCCGUCACCCUCUUCAAAUAAUUAAAAAGUAAAUAAAAUUAUAAAAACUACAGAAGAGGAAAGUCGUAACAUGGUAAGUCUACCGGAAGGUGGCCUUGGAA
This 902-nucleotide non-coding RNA is filed under the name Pseudoeurycea lineola. Lineage: Eukaryota; Metazoa; Chordata; Amphibia; Caudata; Plethodontidae. The record is from RNAcentral.